RNAcentral lists this ribosomal RNA (402 nucleotides) under uncultured prokaryote. RNAcentral describes it as "bacterial SSU rRNA". It matches the Rfam family "Bacterial small subunit ribosomal RNA", at positions 355 to 776 of the family's 1533-position model. RNAcentral also lists the same sequence under 1 other name. The record is from RNAcentral.
UGGGGAAUAUUGCACAAUGGGCGAAAGCCUGAUGCAGCAACGCCGCGUGAGCGAUGAAGGCCUUCGGGUCGUAAAGCUCUGUCCUCAAGGAAGAUAAUGACGGUACUUGAGGAGGAAGCCCCGGCUAACUACGUGCCAGCAGCCGCGGUAAUACGUAGGGGGCGAGCGUUGUCCGGAAUUAUUGGGCGUAAAGAGUUCGUAGGCGGUUUUUUAAGUCAGAUGUGAAAGGCUACAGCUUAACUGUGGUAAGCAUUUGAAACUGGAAGACUUGAGUUAAGGAGGGAAAGUGGAAUUCCUAGUGUAGCGGUGAAAUGCGUAGAUAUUAGGAGGAACACCAGUUGCGAAGGCGGCUCUCUGGACUGUAACUGACACUGAGGCACGAAAGCGUGGGGAGCAAACAGG